RNAcentral lists this ribosomal RNA (474 nucleotides) under uncultured bacterium. Its description in RNAcentral is "bacterial SSU rRNA". It matches the Rfam family "Bacterial small subunit ribosomal RNA", at positions 332 to 798 of the family's 1533-position model. The record is from RNAcentral.
AUUACUCCUACGGGAGGCAGCAGUGAGGAAUUUUGCGCAAUGGGAGCAAUCCUGACGCAGCAACGCCGCGUGGGUGAAGAAGGCCUUCGGGUCGUAAAGCCCUGUCAGGUGGGAAGAAGGGUCCUAUCAGGAAAGGGGUGGGAUUUGACGGUACCACCAGAGGAAGCACCGGCUAACUCCGUGCCAGCAGCCGCGGUAAUACGGAGGGUGCGAGCGUUAUUCGGAAUUACUGGGCGUAAAGCGCGUGUAGGCGGGGGAGCAAGUCUGAUGUGAAAGCCCCGGGCUUAACCCGGGAAGUGCAUUGGAAACUGUUUUUCUUGAGUACUGGAGAGGAAGGGGGAAUUCCCGGUGUAGAGGUGAAAUUCGUAGAGAUCGGGAGGAAUACCAGUGGCGAAGGCGCCCUUCUGGACGGUUACUGACGCUGAGACGCGAAAGCGUGGGGAGCAAACAGGAUUAGAUACCCUGGUAGUCAAU